GACGAACGCUGGCGGCGUGCUUAACACAUGCAAGUCGAACGGAAAGGCCCUGCUUUUGUGGGGUGCUCGAGUGGCGAACGGGUGAGUAACACGUGAGUAACCUGCCCUUGACUUUGGGAUAACUUCAGGAAACUGGGGCUAAUACCGGAUAGGAGCUCCUGCUGCAUGGUGGGGGUUGGAAAGUUUCGGCGGUUGGGGAUGGACUCGCGGCUUAUCAGCUUGUUGGUGGGGUAGUGGCUUACCAAGGCUUUGACGGGUAGCCGGCCUGAGAGGGUGACCGGCCACAUUGGGGCUGGAAUACGGCCCAGACUCCUACGGGAGGCAGCAGUGGGGAAUAUUGCACAAUGGGCGGAAGCCUGAUGCAGCAACGCCGCGUGCGGGAUGACGGCCUUCGGGUUGUAAACCGCUUUCGCCUGUGACGAAGCGUGAGUGACGGUAAUGGGUAAAGAAGCACCGGCUAACUACGUG
Molecule: ribosomal RNA, 468 nt
Filed under: uncultured bacterium
Lineage: Bacteria
Description: partial 16S ribosomal RNA
Rfam family: Bacterial small subunit ribosomal RNA
Source: RNAcentral